UCUUUGUAGCAGCUAGGCCCUGCCACCACUGUGCUUGGCUGAGUUCACAAAUCUGUUGUAACCUGUAGCUUCCCUGUCACUUCUCUGGCUCUCCACUCCUGCUAAGCUUUGUUUCCUAAUUAAAAUCUUCUGCCACUGCCAUAGCUACUGCUGCUACUGGAACUGCCAUAGACACUGUGGUUCGGUAAAGUAUUGGCCUCCACCACCAUAGGGGCCAGAGCUUCUGCCCCAAAGUUUCCUCCCUUCAUGGGUCCAAAAUUUGAAGACUGAUUGUUGUAAUUGCCAAAAUCAUUGUAGCUUCCACCACCUCCAAAAUUGCUUCAAUCAUUACCAAAUCCAUUAUAGCCAUCCCCACUGCCACCAUAUCCACCACCACCACGGCUGCCACCAAAGCCACCACGACCACUGACAUUUCCUCCAUGACCAAAGUUGUCAUUCCCACCGAAACUACCUCCACAACCACCACCAAAGUUUCCAGAACCACUUUGACCUCUUUGACUGGAAGAAGCACUAGCCAUCUCUCGCUUUGACGGGGCUUUCCUAACUUCACAGUUGUGGCCAUUCACAGUAUGGUAUUUUGGAAUGACAAUCUUAUUCACGGAUUCAUGGUCGUCAAAGGUUACAAAGGCAAAGCCCCUUUUCUUGCCACUGCCUCAGUCAGUCAUUAUUUCAAUCACUUCAAUUUUUCCAUGCUGUUCAAAAUAAUCUCUUAGGUGAUGUUCUUCAGUGUCUUCUUCAAUGCCACCAACAAGUUAUCUUUUUCACAGUUAAGUGGGCACCUGGUCUUUGACAAUCUUCUCUUGAGACAGCUCUCUUUGGUUCUACAACUUUUCCAUCCACUUUGUGUGGCCUUGCAUUCGUGGCUGCAUCCACCUCCUCCACAGUGGCGUAUGUAACAAACCCAAAGCCCCUGGAGCGCUUGGUGUUUGGAUCUUUCAUUACCACACAGUCUGCGAGCGUUCCCCAUCGCUCAAAAUGGCUCCUCAGGCUCUCAACAGUUGUUUCAAAGCUCAAACCUCUAAUGAAGAGCUUCCUCAGCUGUUUGGGCUCUUUAGGAGACUCUGACUUAGACAUGACGGAAGGGAGAAGAGAGACUUUAGUGAUGCUUCUUGGGUGGUGUCCACAGGCAGAAAGGAGCAAGCUGACAAACAUAUCUGGAGAGGCUAUUUUAAAUAGAGUGAUCAGGGAAGGCCUUUUUGAGAAGGUGGCAUAUGAGAUAAUAUGUGUAUGCUGAGAAGGGAACAGCCAGCCUUCUUUAGGGUUCUAGACAGAAAGACUUGCCAUGUACAAAGGACCUGAAAUGAAAAUCAGUUUAGUGUGCUAGAGGAAUAGCAAGAAGGCAAGAGUUAUGUGUUGAAUUGUGUCUCCCCAAAAAAUCAUAUGUUGAAGACAUAACCUCUAGUGCCCUAGAAUAUAACCUUAUUUGAAAAUGGGGAACUGGCUGGGUGCGGUGGCUCAUGCCUGUAAUCCUAGCACUAUGGGAGGCUGAGGUGGGCUGAUCAAGUGAGGUCAGGAGUUCGAGACCAGUCAUGGCCAACAUGGUGAAACCCCAUCUCUACUAAAAAUAGAAAAAUUAGCUGGGCAUGGUAGUGUGUGCCUGUAGUCCCAGCUACUCAGGAGACUGAGACACAAGAAUUGCUUGAACCUGGGAGGUGGAGGGUGUAGUGAGCUGAGAUUGCACCACUGCACUCCAGCCUGGGUGACAGUGCAAGACUCUAUCUCAAAAAAAAAAAAAAAAAAAAAAA
This 1745-nucleotide long non-coding RNA is filed under the name Macaca fascicularis (crab-eating macaque). RNAcentral describes it as "lncRNA (ENSMFAG00000054606.1)". The record is from RNAcentral. Lineage: Eukaryota; Metazoa; Chordata; Mammalia; Primates; Cercopithecidae.